Long non-coding RNA from Eriocheir sinensis (Chinese mitten crab), 1526 nucleotides. RefSeq lists it as uncharacterized. The record is from RefSeq and is a predicted model, not a curated record. The transcript is spliced from 4 exons. Lineage: Eukaryota; Metazoa; Arthropoda; Malacostraca; Decapoda; Varunidae.
ACCGCCGCGGCCGCCACGUUUACCAGCCGGAGCCUCAAAUCAUGUCCCUUUGUGGUGAUAAAGAGGACACAGCCUGGUGUGAAGCUACACUUAUUACGGAAGGAUGCCAGCCGGGAUCCGAACACGUCCGAUAUCAUCCAAGAGAAUGUGGCAGCUGAAGGGGGAGAGGCCAAGGGUGAAGACAUUUAGCCACCCCCCCUGAAGUACAUGGCAUCAUUCAACCCUCUUGGUGAGCUGCAGGAAUGUGCUUCCCAUUGCAGUGCACCAGCUCCAUGUACUGAUUUUGGUGUGAACUUGAUGGGGUUGGAGGAAACUCGACUUGGCCAUCAAGCUCACCACAAUAUAACAUGAAAAGUGAAAAUUGCUGCACACAACAGUCUGUCGUCUGCACCGGGAGGCAAGGCAGCUCAAAGCCCAGGCUGUUACAAAUCCUGGGCAGUUUUUGCCCAGAGCCAGCAAUUUUUUAGAUCCAAUAGGGAUGGAUUUUUUCUGAGGUCAGGUUCAACAUGCUGCAAGAUGCCAAGAUCUAAGCCUAGUAGGAGAUAUGGGUUACAAGAGAGGAGGUUUGCUCUGGCCUUAUACUUUCAAAGUCCAAAUGCUAAUAGAUUUCUGAGCACAGUAUUUCACUUGUCUUCAGUUUCAACACUUCAAUCAUGACUCAGGGGUAUUUCAGUACAUGUUGGCUGGAGCAAACAGACUCUGACAGCCCUGCAGCAAAGAGCACAGGCUUUGUCAAAAGAAGAGAAACUUUGUGGGAUUUGCCAUUAUUUAGUAUUACUCUUGUUACGCCAAGAAUUUUUUUCCAUAUACUUUGCCAAAUAUUGCAAGUAAUGUACCAUUGUUGGGCUUGCUUGUUAUAAAUCAGAUCUUGUUCAAUUAACAAGCUUUGGGUGUCUGCCACUUUCCAGUUGUAAUGCAAGGAAUCAUUUAUCUUCCCUGCUAGAUAUCACACGUAAUGCACCAUUGUUGGUUUUGCCUGUUAUAAAUCAGAUCUUGUUCAGUUAAAAAGCUUUAGGUGUCUGCCACUUUCCAAUUGUAAUGCAAGGAAUCCCCUGCCAGAUAUCGCAUGUAAUGCACCAUUGUUGGUUUUGCCUAUUAUAAAUCAGAUCUUGUUCAGCUCACAAGCUUUGAAUAUCUACCAUUGUUUAUUUUAGGUGUAGUGCUUGGAAGCAUUUGUUCUCUUACCUACCCAACAGUAUGCAAUAUUUUAUUGUGGAUUUUGCCUGUUAUAUUUAAUCUUGUUCAGGUAACAAGCUUUUGGUGUCUGCCUUACCUAAUAUGUCCUGCAGUGACACUUGGCUUGGUUUCAUAAUGUGAAAUACAGCAUGUAAUUUCAUCACACUAAGUGUCUAUCAUCACGUGUCUGGCAUCAUUAAUGUGGCUUCCAGGAGUAAUCUUGUUUGUAUUACAGCUUGCAAUUUUUUUUCUGCUUUAUAUGAUAUACAUAAUCACAUAGGUAUGAUUUACAAAAUGUAAUGGCAGUUGAUAUUCUUGACUAAUGCCUCAUAAACCUUGUGAAAAAUAAU